CCCCUAGAUGUUCUGGGCUGCACGCGCGCUACACUGAAGCGUUCAACAAGUAUUCACCUUGCCCGGGAGGGUUGGGUAAUCUUUUGAAAACGCUUCGUGAUGGGGAUAGAUUAUUGCAAUUAUUAAUCUUCAACGAGGAAUUCCUAGUAAGCGCGAGUCAUCAGCUCGUGCUGAUUACGUCCCUGCCCUUUGUACACACCGCCCGUCGCACCUACCGAUUGAAUGUUUCGGUGAAGAUUCCGGAUAGGACUUUUUUGAUUUAUUUCAAUUCUGUCUUAAAAGCUAUCUAAACCUCAACAUUUAGAGGAAGGUGAAGUCGUAACA
Molecule: ribosomal RNA, 324 nt
Filed under: uncultured eukaryote
Lineage: Eukaryota
Description: partial 18S ribosomal RNA
Rfam family: Eukaryotic small subunit ribosomal RNA
Source: RNAcentral